Molecule: long non-coding RNA, 365 nt
Filed under: Nicotiana benthamiana
Lineage: Eukaryota; Viridiplantae; Streptophyta; Magnoliopsida; Solanales; Solanaceae
Description: long non-coding RNA (NBEN_LNC019636)
Source: RNAcentral
UCAAAUCAUUUAAAAUCAUACAGAUCUAGGAUUUGAAAUCAAACAUUAGGGUUUCAUAAGAAACCCAAGUAUAGAGAAAAGAACCUGUCAAAAUCUUAAAGAUCGUAACAAGCACAACAUGAUUUUGCUUGGAAUCAUACUGAAGUAGCCAAAAACAAACCAGAUGGAAAAUCCUAGAUGCAAGUUAGCAUGGCCCAUGUCCUUGAAUUCCUUAGAGAAGGUGAGCAUGGCAAUUGAGGAGCCAUUAGAGGCUUAGGGGUUGAAGGGUGGUCACUGGAGAAGAUCGGAGAAAUGAGGCAGCGGUUGAAGGAACUAGGGUUAGGUUGAGGGGUUGAGAGAGGAGAAGAGAUGAGAGAAUGUAGAGG